GUCCUUUAUUCUGAAAAUCUAAAACUACAUCCCCGAAUGUCUGGGUGGACUUCAUAGGUAUAAACUGAAUGGACAUUAGAUAAGCCAGCUUCUACCUCCCAUAACUGCAUGAAUUUUUUUUUUUUUUUUUUUUUGGCUGGGACCACAUUGGUUGAACCUAAAGUAAAUAGUAACCUGAAAAUUCUUUAGGGGCUCAUGUGUGUGCUUGGCCAAAAAGAAAGUGACCUCUUUCAUUCUUUCUUUCCUUCUGUGGCAUGACCCUUCACUACGGAGAAAAAAGGAGUAGAGGUUGUACUGGAGGGGGACAGAGACAAUUCUAAUUUUCUCUUUUCAGUUUUUCACUUUUGACUCAGACUACUUUUCCUUCCUUUUAUUAGUUUAGAUGAUUUUACUAAUGAGAAACUGGAAGCACAGAGAGGUGAGGGGAAUUGCCCAAGAUCACAGAGAUUGUGAUAAGUUGUGAUCAGAACGCUGACUUCUAGCUUUGUAUACCAUUCUAUUGCCGUUUUUAAGGAUUUACCAGGAAAGCAUUAUAAGGAGAGAAUACUGGACAAAAUGUUGAGAAUCCUGGACAAUAUUGUAUUUGGAUUCUGCGAACGGUCUGUUGCUAAGACACAAUCAGAGAAGAAGGACAUCAGGUUAUACAAAUUACUGAGCCUAACAGAUACAGCCAUUAAAGGGUCAAAGUUGAAUGGAUAAAGAAGAUGUGGUCCAUACACACGAAGGAAUAUUACGCAGCCAUCAGAAAGGAUGAAUACCCAACUUUUGCAUCAACAUGGACGGGGCUGGAGGAGAUGAUGCUGAGUGAAACAAGUCAAGCAGAGAAAGUCAAUUAUUAGAUGGUUUCACUUAUUUGCAGGGACAUAAGGAAAAGCAUGGAGGACAUUAGGAGAAGGGAGGGGAAAAUGAAGGAGGGGAAUCAAAGAGAAAAACGAACCAUGAGACCCUGUGGACUCCAGGAAACAGACUGAGGGUUUUAGAGGGGAGAAAGGGUGGGGGGAUGGGUGAGCUUGGUGGUGGGUAUUAAGGAGGGCACGUAUUGCACGGAGCACUGGGUGUUAGGUAUAAACAAUGACUCAUGGAACACUGCAUUAAAAACUAAUGACAUGCUAUACGGUGACUAACAUAACACAAUAAAUAAAUAAAUAAAUAUACAGCGUCAAAGUCUCUGGUAUAUGAAUCUGCUUUCAAAAGAGACAAAGCCUUUUUUCUUUUCUUUUCUUUCUUUUUUUUAUGAGAGAAGAG
RNAcentral lists this long non-coding RNA (1245 nucleotides) under Mustela putorius furo (domestic ferret). RNAcentral describes it as "lncRNA (ENSMPUG00000028840.1)". Lineage: Eukaryota; Metazoa; Chordata; Mammalia; Carnivora; Mustelidae. The record is from RNAcentral.